UUCUGGCUCAGUAGGUCUGGGUGGGGCCUGAGAGUUUGUAUUUGUAAGCAGCUCCCAGGGGAGCCCCAGACCAC
RNAcentral lists this microRNA precursor (74 nucleotides) under Otolemur garnettii (small-eared galago). RNAcentral describes it as "miRNA (ENSOGAG00000034658.1)". Lineage: Eukaryota; Metazoa; Chordata; Mammalia; Primates; Galagidae. The record is from RNAcentral.